CGGACGGGUGAGUAACACGUGGAUAACCUACCUAUAAGACUGGGAUAACUUCGGGAAACCGGAGCUAAUACCAGAUAAUAUUUUGAACCGCAUGGUUCAAAAGUGAAAGACGGUCUUGCUGUCACUUAUAGAUGGAUCCGCGCUGCAUUAGCUAGUUGGUAAGGUAACGGCUUACCAAGGCAACGAUGCAUAGCCGACCUGAGAGGGUGAUCGGCCACACUGGAACUGAGACACGGUCCAG
This 241-nucleotide ribosomal RNA is filed under the name uncultured Staphylococcus sp. Its description in RNAcentral is "partial 16S ribosomal RNA". It matches the Rfam family "Bacterial small subunit ribosomal RNA", at positions 99 to 334 of the family's 1533-position model. The record is from RNAcentral. Lineage: Bacteria; Bacillati; Bacillota; Bacilli; Caryophanales; Staphylococcaceae.